UGGCGGGUAGCUCAGUUGGUAGAGCGCCAAAAACAUCCUUAAUUCACACCUUGUCCGAAAUGGCCGAAGAGUUGAGGGUUAUCGACUCAAAAUCGGGUAGUCGCAGGUUCAAGUCCUGCUCCGCCAC
This 127-nucleotide transfer RNA is filed under the name Microcoleus sp. FACHB-831. RNAcentral's name for it is "tRNA-Leu". The record is from RNAcentral. Lineage: Bacteria; Bacillati; Cyanobacteriota; Cyanophyceae; Oscillatoriales; Microcoleaceae.